RNAcentral lists this ribosomal RNA (253 nucleotides) under uncultured bacterium. RNAcentral's name for it is "partial 16S ribosomal RNA". It matches the Rfam family "Bacterial small subunit ribosomal RNA", at positions 524 to 776 of the family's 1533-position model. The record is from RNAcentral.
UACGUAGGGUGCAAGCGUUAAUCGGAAUUACUGGGCGUAAAGCGUGCGCAGGCGGUCUUGCAAGACAGAUGUGAAAUCCCCGGGCUCAACCUGGGAACUGCAUUUGUGACUGCAAGGCUAGAGUACGGUAGAGGGGGAUGGAAUUCCGCGUGUAGCAGUGAAAUGCGUAGAUAUGCGGAGGAACACCGAUGGCGAAGGCAAUCCCCUGGACCUGUACUGACGCUCAUGCACGAAAGCGUGGGGAGCAAACAGG